Molecule: ribosomal RNA, 484 nt
Filed under: uncultured bacterium
Lineage: Bacteria
Description: partial 16S ribosomal RNA
Rfam family: Bacterial small subunit ribosomal RNA
Source: RNAcentral
AUUGAACGCUGGCGGCAUGCUUUACACAUGCAAGUCGAACGGCAGCACGGGCUUCGGCCUGGUGGCGAGUGGCGAACGGGUGAGUAAUAUAUCGGAACGUACCCAGAAGUGGGGGAUAACGUAGCGAAAGUUACGCUAAUACCGCAUACGAUCUAUGGAUGAAAGCAGGGGACCGCAAGGCCUUGUGCUCCUGGAGCGGCCGAUAUCUGAUUAGCUAGUUGGUGAGGUAAAGGCUCACCAAGGCGACGAUCAGUAGCUGGUCUGAGAGGACGACCAGCCACACUGGAACUGAGACACGGUCCAGACUCCUACGGGAGGCAGCAGUGGGGAAUUUUGGACAAUGGGCGCAAGCCUGAUCCAGCAAUGCCGCGUGAGUGAAGAAGGCCUUCGGGUUGUAAAGCUCUUUUGUCAGGGAAGAAACGGUAGAGGCUAAUAUCCUUUGCUAAUGACGGUUCCUGAAGAAUAAGCACCGGCUAACUACGUG